GCUUCGGGUGCGGCUACCCCACCGCUCCCCCGCGACCGCUGCCGCGGUCCCGUGGCUCUUUCCCUGCUCACCUCCCAGGGACGGCAGAGAAGGGCUGGCCUGAGCACCGCCUUCGCGGCGCUGCCGGCGACGGUCGCUACUUUCAGCGCCAUGACGGAAAGCAGAGAAGACGCGAUGGCGGCGAUGGCAUCUCUCGGCGCCCUGGCGCUGCUCCUGCUGUCCAGCCUCUCCCGCUGCUCAGGGAUCUGCCUCCUGUGGUCCAGACCCAGAGCCUUCUCUGACGUCCUCUGCUGAAGCCAUCGUUCUGCCAGGGCACCACAUUUGGACAGCGGGUGGCUGAGAACGUUCCCACUUUGGGGAGCCUUUGUUUCACACCCUCUGAUGUAGGCGGCAGCCUUCCUUUCCUUUGGGCCUCUGGUUAUGGAGAAGGCUAAGGCAAGGUCCUUUCUCUCACAGCUAACAAGUUGUGCUUCUGGAACCAGAGUCUCUCCCGUUUGCUUCCUCAGGAAACGCUGGGGCCAGUCUUCACCUUCUGUCAACUGGCCGGGGGCAGAGACCCUUUCUCUCAUCUUGAAAGCCGCAGUGCAUUGCCUGCCUGCAGCCCCCACCCCCGAUGUCUCUGCUGAGGAUGCCUUCAGUAACUCGUCCAGGCCGUUUGUGGCUCUGAAUUGAGGCUGGCCUGGCCCCCGGGCCUCCGUGUCAUAGGUCCAAGUGUUGGCAUGUAUUGUCCAGUGAAUCCAGCCCCCACCUGCCCCCAGUUCGCUCUUCCUGCACACCUCCAGAAAGCCGGCCUUGCCCCUCCCCAGCCUUCCUUCACAGCCAUCCCGCCUACGUUGCCACUGCAUUUGUGACCGAGCACUUGGAUCUGUCUCGCAUAUCCCACCUGGAAGGGGCAGGAGGAUCGCGUGGGUCCCCAGCUGA
RNAcentral lists this small RNA (921 nucleotides) under Pan troglodytes (chimpanzee). RNAcentral's name for it is "processed transcript". The record is from RNAcentral. Lineage: Eukaryota; Metazoa; Chordata; Mammalia; Primates; Hominidae.